CGGCGGAGGAGAGGAGUGGAGAGAGAGAAGUUUAUGAGAUUCAACUAUCCUUCCUACUCGAGAGGAUGAAGAUGAAGAGAGGGAGAAAAAUGAACAAUGAAUAAAAAAAAUAAAUAAAGCUACUUUAAA
This is a long non-coding RNA of Astyanax mexicanus (Mexican tetra), 129 nucleotides long. RefSeq lists it as uncharacterized. Lineage: Eukaryota; Metazoa; Chordata; Actinopteri; Characiformes; Acestrorhamphidae. The transcript is spliced from 2 exons. The record is from RefSeq and is a predicted model, not a curated record.